AGAGUUUGAUCCUGGCUCAGGAUGAACGCUGGCGGCGUGCUUAACACAUGCAAGUCGAACGAAGCACUUUAUUUGAUUUCUUCGGAAUGAAGAUUUUGUGACUGAGUGGCGGACGGGUGAGUAACGCGUGGGUAACCUGCCUCAUACAGGGGGAUAACAGUUGGAAACGACUGCUAAUACCGCAUAAGCGCACAGGGUCGCAUGACCUGGUGUGAAAAACUCCGGUGGUAUGAGAUGGACCCGCGUCUGAUUAGCCAGUUGGUGGGGUAACGGCCUACCAAAGCGACGAUCAGUAGCCGACCUGAGAGGGUGACCGGCCACAUUGGGACUGAGACACGGCCCAAACUCCUACGGGAGGCAGCAGUGGGGAAUAUUGCACAAUGGGGGAAACCCUGAUGCAGCGACGCCGCGUGAGCGAAGAAGUAUUUCGGUAUGUAAAGCUCUAUCAGCAGGGAAGAAGAAAUGACGGUACCUGACCAAGAAGCACCGGCUAAAUACGUGCCAGCAGCCGCGGUAAUACGUAUGGUGCAAGCGUUAUCCGGAUUUACUGGGUGUAAGGGGAGCGCAGGCGGUACGGCAAGUCUGAUGUGAAAGCCCGGGGCUCAACCCCGGUACUGCAUUGGAAACUGUCGGACUAGAGUGUCGGAGGGGUAAGUGGAAUUCCUAGUGUAGCGGUGAAAUGCGUAGAUAUUAGGAGGAACACCAGUGGCGAAGGCGGCUUACUGGACGAUUACUGACGCUGAGGCUCGAAAGCGUGGGGAGCAAACAGGAUUAGAUACCCUGGUAGUCCACGCUGUAAACGAUGAAUACUAGGUGUCGGGGAGCAUUGCUCUUCGGUGCCGCAGCAAACGCAAUAAGUAUUCCACCUGGGGAGUACGUUCGCAAGAAUGAAACUCAAAGGAAUUGACGGGGGCCCGCACAAGCAGUGGAGUAUGUGGUUUAAUUCGACGCAACGCGAAGAACCUUACCAAGUCUUGACAUCCCUUGACGAUGCUGGAAACAGUAUUUCUCUUCGGAGCAAGGAGACAGGUGGUGCAUGGUUGUCGUCAGCUCGUGUCGUGAGAUGUUGGGUUAAGUCCCGCAACGAGCGCAACCCUUAUGGUCAGUUACUACGCAAGAGGACUCUGGCCAGACUGCCGUUGACAAAACGGAGGAAGGUGGGGAUGACGUCAAAUCAUCAUGCCCUUUAUGACUUGGGCUACACACGUACUACAAUGGCGUUAAACAAAGAGAAGCAAGACCGCAAGGUGGAGCAAAACUCAGAAACAACGUCCCAGUUCGGACUGCAGGCUGCAACUCGCCUGCACGAAGUCGGAAUUGCUAGUAAUCGUGGAUCAGCAUGCCACGGUGAAUACGUUCCCGGGCCUUGUACACACCGCCCGUCACACCAUGAGAGCCAGGGGGACCCGAAGUCGGUAGUCUAACCGCAAGGAGGACGCCGCCGAAGGUAAAACUGGUGAUUGGGGUGAAGUCGUAACAAGGUA
This 1484-nucleotide ribosomal RNA is filed under the name metagenome. Its description in RNAcentral is "bacterial SSU rRNA". It matches the Rfam family "Bacterial small subunit ribosomal RNA". The record is from RNAcentral.